This is a long non-coding RNA of Pecten maximus, 345 nucleotides long. RefSeq lists it as uncharacterized. The transcript has 3 exons. NCBI's taxonomy places the organism in Eukaryota, Metazoa, Mollusca, Bivalvia, Pectinida, Pectinidae. The record is from RefSeq and is a predicted model, not a curated record.
UGUCAGGAUUAAUUUUAUAGUGAGAUUCCUGAAUCUGUCUGUCACUGUAGUGAGUGAUAGUCAGAAAGACAACAAGACUGUUACUGAAGUGACUCUGACAGCUUCAAUAGUGAUUCAAGUUAUUGCAGAUAAUAUACCAGUUUUUGAAGAAAGAAUUGGGAUAGCUGUUAUCACUGAAGAGGUCCAGGUUACACAGAAAAUAGACAUCAUUCUGGUACCUGUAAUAAGGACAACACCUACCAGUACACCAGCUUUGCUCUGCUUGGUGGAUGAUUGGCCAGAUAAUUGGGAAAUCGCGUGUGCUUCUGCUAUCAAUGAACUGCAACAUGGAACUGACUUUUGUGG